This is a long non-coding RNA of Sus scrofa (pig), 727 nucleotides long. RefSeq lists it as uncharacterized. The record is from RefSeq and is a predicted model, not a curated record. Lineage: Eukaryota; Metazoa; Chordata; Mammalia; Artiodactyla; Suidae.
AGGGAGCGGGGAAGUGGGGGGGGGGGAGUGACGGGGGCAAGGAGGCCCAGGCCAGGAACCCCCCCCCCCCACCCCAGCCUCCCGGGGCUCCCAGGAGGUAGAAGGGCCGAGAGAGGGAGAGGGAGAAAUGUUUGUAGAGCGAGGGGAGGGGGGACAGACGGGGGCGGGGAAAAAGAGACAGAGAGAGACAUGCAGCUCCAAGUCGGAGACAUGCCCAGAGACACAGAGACCGAGCUGCAAGAGCAGGAUCGGGAGAGAGGCCAGACGGAGGCCCAGAAAACCGGGAGGGACAGACACGCCCCCAAGAGGAAGCGACGGAGGGAAGGAGGGGAGGGAGCUCUGUGGAGACGCGGAGAUGCGGAGGGUCUGUGGAGAUGUGAAGGACCGGACGCCUGAGCUGGAGAAUGAUGGGCCUGGCCCAUGCUGGGGGCCAAGCAGAGAUCAAGUCCAGCAGCGGGCGGGUGCGGAGACUGGUGUGAGCAUUGGACACAGGGACCACAGCAGUAGGCACCGCCCUUGGCAUCAGAUGCUUGGGAGAGGUUUGUGGCAGUCAGCUUUACUCCAGGACUGGGAGAAACAGCCACACCACACAGAAGAAAGACAACUGCUUCUCAGCAUCAAGAACAGCAAGAACAGGAAUUCCCGUCAUGGCGCAUCGGAAAUGAAUCUGACUAGGAACCAUGAGGUUGCGGGUUCGAUCCCUGGCUUUGCUCCGUGGGUUAAGGAU